This is a long non-coding RNA of Neltuma alba, 603 nucleotides long. RefSeq lists it as uncharacterized. NCBI's taxonomy places the organism in Eukaryota, Viridiplantae, Streptophyta, Magnoliopsida, Fabales, Fabaceae. The transcript has 3 exons. The record is from RefSeq and is a predicted model, not a curated record.
AGAGGGGUGUUCUCUUCCUUCUACUCUUACCACUUUGGAACUCAAUUCCUUUGGUAACUUGGAGACAUUGAAUUGCACAGGACUUCAGCACCUAACCUCUUUGCAAUGUCUAAAUAUCAAAUCUUGUCCCAAGCUGGAGAAAAUGUUAGGAGAAAAGCUGCCUGUUUCUUUAAAAAAGCUUCACAUUCAGGAUUGUUUGUUGCUUGAAGAAAAAUACCGCAACAGGGAUGAACAGCUUUUGCGUCAGAUAUCCCACAUCCCACUGAUCAAUUCAUCUGAGAUAUGAGAUGCAAUAUAAUCAUCCACGAGAGAUGUAGACCCCACGAAGCUUAUAUCAAUAGCUCUUCUAAGACCUUCUUCAAAAUGUUUUGUGGCUCAUACAAUAUUCAAUCAUGUAAUGAGAAAAUAUUUGCAAAUUGUAACCGUAAAGGGAGAAUCCAACAUGGUUUGCUUGUUCUAAUUUAUAAAGGAAAUACAGUGCUUCUUCUUCAGAAAGUAUAAUGCUCAAAUCAAGAUCCUUCAUAUAUUCCUAUUCUCUAGAGGUUUGAAGUGAACUAAAGCUUUUGAUUUCUUCUUUCUCUCUUAAUUGCUUGUUUCGUUAAU